RNAcentral lists this ribosomal RNA (379 nucleotides) under uncultured bacterium. RNAcentral's name for it is "bacterial SSU rRNA". It matches the Rfam family "Bacterial small subunit ribosomal RNA", at positions 355 to 752 of the family's 1533-position model. The record is from RNAcentral.
UGAGGAAUAUUGCACAAUGGGCGCAAGCCUGAUGCAGCAACGCCGCGUGGACGAUGAAGGCCUUCGGGUUGUAAAAUCCUUUUCUGGGGAAAGAUAAUGACGGUACCCCAGGAAUAAGUUCCGGCUAACUACGUGCCAGCAGCCGCGGUAAUACGUAGGGACCAAGCGUUGUUCGGAUUUACUGGGCGUAAAGGGCGCGUAGGCGGCUUUGUAAGUCACUUGUGAAAUCUCCGGGCUUAACUCGGAACGGCCAAGUGAUACUGCAAAGCUAGAGUGCAGAAGGGGCAAUCGGAAUUCUUGGUGUAGCGGUGAAAUGCGUAGAUAUCAAGAGGAACACCUGAGGUGAAGACGGUUGCUGGGCUGACACUGACGCUGAGGC